RNAcentral lists this ribosomal RNA (253 nucleotides) under uncultured bacterium. RNAcentral describes it as "partial 16S ribosomal RNA". It matches the Rfam family "Bacterial small subunit ribosomal RNA", at positions 524 to 776 of the family's 1533-position model. The record is from RNAcentral.
UACAGAGGUCCCAAGCGUUGUUCGGAUUCACUGGGCGUAAAGGGUGCGUAGGCGGUCAGGUAAGUCUGAUGUGAAAUCCCCGGGCUUAACCUGGGAACUGCAUUUGUGACUGCAUGGCUGGAGUGCGGCAGAGGGGGAUGGAAUUCCGCGUGUAGCAGUGAAAUGCGUAGAUAUGCGGAGGAACACCGAUGGCGAAGGCAAUCCCCUGGGCCUGCACUGACGCUCAUGCACGAAAGCGUGGGGAGCAAACAGG